CUAAAAAACGAGAACAGAGAGAGAGAGAGAGACAGAGAGAAACAACAAAAAAAUCCUUGUGUUGCAAAAAAAAAACCACUUUCAAGUAUUGCUUUCAGUUUGGGGUGGAAAGUAGAGGAAAGGGGGAAGAAAAGAAAGGAGACAUGAACGAGAUGAAUUAUUUGUGAGUGUUGAUACUUUCUGUAGAGGUAUAUCUCUGUCAGCACUGCGUCUAAGGGUCCACCAGAGUGUAAACUGUAGGCGUGUACCUGUUCCUCGGAGGGUUCGGGUGUGAGAAGGCUGAUGAUGAUGGUGACGAUGACGGUGAUGGCGCAGAGGAUGAUG
Long non-coding RNA from Pangasianodon hypophthalmus (striped catfish), 324 nucleotides. RefSeq lists it as uncharacterized. The transcript has 3 exons. The record is from RefSeq and is a predicted model, not a curated record. Lineage: Eukaryota; Metazoa; Chordata; Actinopteri; Siluriformes; Pangasiidae.